Molecule: long non-coding RNA, 534 nt
Filed under: Bos taurus (domestic cattle)
Lineage: Eukaryota; Metazoa; Chordata; Mammalia; Artiodactyla; Bovidae
Description: long non-coding RNA NONBTAT015141
Source: RNAcentral
AAAAGUUUACAAUUUUAAUAGAAAAACAACUUAUGACAGAGCUAAAUAUACAAUGUAAAUUUAAUUUUUAAAAAGAAAAAUUAUUAGUAAGAGUAGUAGAAUUCUAGUGACAAAAAGACUAAAAUAUUUGGAAAUAUACCAUCUGUAAAGGAAAAUACUAAUUCAUGCCAGGCUCUAUUAAAGUGCAUAAAAAGGAAAUUUAUUUUAGAAUUUACACCAAAAGCACAUUACAAGUACACGUGUUACUCUGGCACAGUAAUGCAGGAAGCUCAGCCACAAAGAAAACACAGCUGUGAUCUCAUGUAUCAGUCUGCCUCCUAGGACAUGCCUCACAAAUAGUUUGUUCCAAAGGUUGAAAAUUACAAGCAAUUUUCCCUGUUGAUAGCUUUGCAAAUAACUCUGGUAACAGACCAAAAAGUCUUAAUUCUUAUCUUGCUGAUUCUCUAAAGUCAUGUCAGUCUCAAGAAACUUCUGAUUUCUGGUCAUUUUCAAUAAAAAUUGAUAUGAGAGAUAUUUUCAGACUUUUAAAACAAG